GUUCUUUGAUGAGUAUAUCAAACAUUUAUUAAUGCCAUGAAUUGUUGUUUCUGACGUAAUGUGGUCUUAAGAAGGUUAAAUCAUUGAACAAUAGAAAUGAAAAGUGUCUAAUUAAGAAGAUUUAAAGCUUGAUACAAUACGCUAGCUCACAGUUGUGGUAUGGUGAAGUUUUCUGCCGUGUUUUAAGACAGGUAGCCUUAGACGCACUGCCACUGCAGCAAAUCAAAGACUUGUUAGAUUUAUUAUUCACAAAAGUAGUUUGACGAGUUGGUGUGUUUUAUUUGUUUCUUCUUCUACAUUUCUAUUAAUACAUGGACAGGAGAAGGGUUCAAAAAUCUCAUCAGCCAGGCACCUCGAGCCUUCAAGUGCAGGGUCUCGGUGAAAACAUUCAACCCAGAAUUAAUCUUUAUCUGCGUGAGAAACAGAAGCAUGUGACAGAUCGACACAGUUGAAAGGUGACGGAAAACCAAGAGCUCAUGGGCAGAUUAAUCAAGGUGACAUGAUUUAUUCAGGAGCCAGUUUGUCAUGGCGAUGGAGAGCCCAGCAGGCCUACCCCAGCAUAUUUUACACAGGAUUUGUCACAACACACUUCACAGAGUGCCCUGGUCUAAACCUCCACAGAGCGAGCCAGAGGUAACAGUGGUGGGAAACACUCCCUGGAAAAUGUGUAGGAGGAAACCUGGGAAGGAACCAGACUGAUCCGGGGGAGCCCUGUCCUCCUCUGGCCGGCUCAGGGUGGGGUUCACUGGGGCAGGCAGUUUGGGACGGGCUGCAUUAAGCAGUCGGGCCAGGGCUGGGGUGGCAGGCUGAAAUGGGGGACAAACGGGGGCGAUGUUUCGAGAGCGGGGACCGGGAGAAGCUCAGAGCCUCAGCAGUUUUACUUGGUUUCAUUUUGAGACUGGCACACACAGCUGAAACAGACAAUGCCUUUUGUCUGCAUGAGAAGUGAUGAGUUCAGAAAUGAGAUAUCAGACAAGAAUGAACUUAGAUGGGAUGAGAAUUAAAUGAGAUUGAGAUGAGAAUUGGAUAUCAUACAUCAAAUAAAAGCAUAACCUAUGAAAUGUUCAGCUUACAAACCAGUUGCAU
This is a long non-coding RNA of Anguilla rostrata (American eel), 1086 nucleotides long. RefSeq lists it as uncharacterized. The transcript has 2 exons. Lineage: Eukaryota; Metazoa; Chordata; Actinopteri; Anguilliformes; Anguillidae. The record is from RefSeq and is a predicted model, not a curated record.